Cottoperca gobio is the source of this 1459-nucleotide long non-coding RNA. RefSeq lists it as uncharacterized. The transcript is spliced from 4 exons. Lineage: Eukaryota; Metazoa; Chordata; Actinopteri; Perciformes; Bovichtidae. The record is from RefSeq and is a predicted model, not a curated record.
UGUGAAAAAAAGAAGUUAUUAUAGCACACGUGACUGUUUUUUGUAGCUGCAAACGAAGCUUCUAAGUUAACCUAGUGUAUUGGUGGUAGAAUUAUUCAUAUUCCACUGGCUACAGCAGAUACUUGACUGGAGAAGCUGCCACAAGUGGAAGCAAAUACAAGGAUGGCUGAGUAAACUAUGAAAAUCCAGUCAUGGUGUGGGUGAGCCUUCAGAUGAAGCUGCAUCCAACACAAGUACUCACCCUUCCACUUACAGUCCACUGGCUCAGCUGGUAGCAGAGCACCUGAAGUCUCAAGGGAACCUGAAUCUAAAUCUAAAACGGAUAUUAAGAGACGGUGGACCAUGGCCUAGAUAGUUACAUAUGAGCCUUUCCAUCAGCUGACAGGAUACCAAAAACUCCAUGCUCUCAUGUGACCCUCUAUCUGUCAGACUAAUCAUCUCUCCCAGAUGCACCGAACACAGAGCCACCGGAGCAAAGCAAAACACCUCAAGAGAAAAAAGGGAUUUAUGUCUUCAGUCAAGGGAGUUUCUCAUCUCUCCAGGCGAGCCAAGAGACGCUUGUGUUGUAAAUUACAGCUUUGGAUGUGGAGGAAGCGGAGGGAGAAAAGCCGUUUUGGGUUAUUCGGACCAAAGAAAAGAGCUCGCGGGACCACCUCCAGCCCCUUCCUCAGUGUAAAGACACAGCCGAAGGAACAUAAAAGUAACGUUCCAAAGUACCACACACCAAAGCUAGAAAAUACUGAUACUGGAGGUUCAGAGGACGCGCUCGGAGGGCAGAAUUGCCUGCUGACACUUAUGUCAGUCUGUCAGUCUAUCAGAAACGUUUAUUCCUUCAAGUUCCUUGCAGAACCAGGUUACAAACACAAAUGUUUCUAACAUCAGUCAAACCACGCCAACAGCGGUGGUGCCGUCUCAGAAAACAGAAACUUUGGUACAACUCAGUGAAAUUCUCGACCCUUUCAAACUUUGUCCCACUGUCAAAGCCCUUUUGAGUACAGACAGCGAUGCAUGUGGGUUAACUACACAUUUUAAAGAAGCACAGACCAUGGUACCGGCUCAAAGGCUGGAGGUUGACGGUCCAUCAGGACAAUUGACUUCUGUUGUUCCAGGUGAGGAUCAGGCUACAAACAGACCCACUGACGAGAGCCUCAGCAGUAAAAAGACAGAGUGUACACAAACUGAUGCCAGCUUUCUGACAAAGGACAUCCACGAAUUUCUUGAUGACUUCUACAGAAUGUAUGGAAGUUUCAUCCAUUACGAAAGAGAGACGUGUUGAGACAUCUGCAGAGGAAGUUUAACACUGAUUUCAGCGACAGGAAAAAUAUCAUCUCCUCAGAAGUGAGCAAAUACCGAACUGCGAUCGCUCAGAAGCCCGUUCCCUCAUUUCCAGGUCGUCUACAAGAAGCACACACUGACACUGGAUGACUUGUCUACACUGGCAGAUCAGAACGGCUCAACG